This 497-nucleotide ribosomal RNA is filed under the name uncultured bacterium. RNAcentral describes it as "partial 16S ribosomal RNA". It matches the Rfam family "Bacterial small subunit ribosomal RNA", at positions 28 to 507 of the family's 1533-position model. The record is from RNAcentral.
GAUGAACGCUGGCGGCGUGCCUAAUACAUGCAAGUCGAGCGAACGAACGAUAAGCUUGCUUCUCUGAUUUUAGCGGCGGACGUGUGAAUAACCCGUGGAUAACCUACCUAUAAGACUGGGAUACCUUCGGGACACCGGAUCUAAUACCGGAUAAUCUUUUGCACCGCAUGGUUCAAAAGUGAAAGCCGGUCUUUCUGUCACUUAUAGAUGGAUCCGCGCUGCAUUAGCUAGUUGGUAAGGUAACGGCUUACCAAGGCAACGAUGCAUAGCCGACCUGAGAGGGGGAUAGGCCACACGGGAACUGAGACACGGGCAAGAGGCCUACGGGAGGCAGCAGGAGGGAAUCUGGCGAAAUGGGCGAAAGCCUGACGGAGCAACGCCGCGGGAGUGAUGAAGGUCUUCGGAGCGGAAAACUGUGUUAUGAGGGAAGAACAUAUGUGAAAGGAAAUGUGCAGAUCUUGACGGUACCUAAACAGAAAGCCACGGCUAACUACGUG